AUCGAACGCUGGCGGCAGGCCUAACACAUGCAAGUCGGACGGUAGCACCGGGAGCUAGCCCUCGGGUGACGUGUGGCGGACGGGUGAGUCAUGUCUGGGGAUCUGCCUGAUAGAGGGGGACAACCACUGGAAAUGGUGGCUAAUACCGCAUACCGUCGCCAGACCAAAGAGGGGGCCUUUCGGGCCUCUCACGAUCGGAUGACCGCAGACGGGAUUAGCUAGUAGGCGGGGUCAUGGCCCACCUAGGCGACGAUCCCUAGCUGGUCUGAGAGGAUGACCGGCCACUCUGGAACUGAGACACGGUCCAGACUCCUACGGGAGGCAGCAGUAGGGAAUAUUGCACAAUGGGCGCAAGACUGAUGCAGCCAUGCCGCGUGUAUGAAGAAGGCCUUCGGGUUGUAAAGUACUUUCAGCGGGGAGGAAGGCGGUGAGGAGAAUAACCUUGCCGAUUGACGUUACCCUCAGAAGAAGCACCGGCUAACUCCGUGCCAGCAGCCGCUGUAA
This 504-nucleotide ribosomal RNA is filed under the name uncultured bacterium. Its description in RNAcentral is "partial 16S ribosomal RNA". It matches the Rfam family "Bacterial small subunit ribosomal RNA", at positions 29 to 523 of the family's 1533-position model. The record is from RNAcentral.